Molecule: ribosomal RNA, 29 nt
Filed under: Terminalia bellirica (bibhitaki)
Lineage: Eukaryota; Viridiplantae; Streptophyta; Magnoliopsida; Myrtales; Combretaceae
Description: partial 28S ribosomal RNA
Source: RNAcentral
GGCUACCCGCUGAGUUUAAGCAUAUCAUA